RNAcentral lists this long non-coding RNA (1015 nucleotides) under Cyanistes caeruleus (blue tit). RNAcentral describes it as "lncRNA (ENSCCEG00000007995.1)". Lineage: Eukaryota; Metazoa; Chordata; Aves; Passeriformes; Paridae. The record is from RNAcentral.
CUUCUCAUCGCCUCUUGUGUCUCCAGGCAAUUUAAAACACAUCCCCAGUUAGGACCGGUGUGGGCCAAGCAAGCCAUCGGAUGCACCUUGACUCGGGGUGAAGACGCUGCAGCUCCGGCCGCCGCACCACCCUUUGCAGGGCAGCAGGGCGCAGGCAGCCUCGGCACGCCGCAGAGCCCCGGCGGCGAGCGUCCCUACGAGCGAGGGAGGUGUCACCAGCUCCGCAGAGCCGCAUGCUCGCAGAACGGGGAACCUCGCUCACUUGCUCACAGAUACAAAUACCUGCGCCUCCGCCACCUGCCUGCCCCCUCCGCGCCUCGCUCCGGGCCUGGCGACGCCUGGCACCGACACGGAGCCGGUCUCUCCCGGGGGUGUCCGAGCCCAGCAGGUAUCUGCUUUGGCAAAGACUGGGGAGUCUGCGGCUCCCCGUUUGAAGCAUCACAGGAGCGGCGUGAGGGAUGCAAGGGGAUGAGGAAAGACGGGAGCAGUGGGCUGCAAACUGGGGGCGCUGAGAAGAGGAGUGCCAGAUCACAUCAGGCUGUAAGAUACCUGAGGACUGUUUGUUUGCAGACUGCUGGAAGACAGAGACGGAAUCACCUAUUGGUGAGUCAUAACCACACAAUCGCAGAGGAGUGAUGGCACAGACUCGCAAAGACACAGAGAGUGAUAACAGCUUAAAACUGUCUUCUUUCCCCUUCUACUUUUUGAUAAAAAAACAAAAUACUGGGACUAGAUUCUCAGCCGGGGCAAAGGAAAGUAACUCCAUUGCUUUUGUCACAGCACACAUUUACACUUUCUGAGGUUGUAGCCCGUUCUGUUUGUCAAAAAUUGUUCUUCCUGAGUAGAUUAUUCCUUCCUUUCUAUAAACUUGAGUUUAAUUCUUGGAAAAUGGCUGGCUUGCUAUGUUCUUUAUUGUUGUAAGCUUGCUUGACAGGGGAAAGGAAGGCUAAUCAAACACUGGGCCACUGGCAUGCAGAGCAAUAAAAAGGAAAAUGGGAGUAUCUUAGGUCCUUAC